AAGUCGUAACAAGGUUUCCGUAGGUGAACCUGCGGAAGGAUCAUUACUGAAUUUAAUUCCGGGGUUGUAGCUGGCCAUUUGCGUGGUAUGUGCACACCUUGGUAUAAUCCAAAUUCAUUCACACCUUUGUGCACCGUUCCGUGGCGAUUGAAGGUAUUUGAAGUUGGGCCUAGCAGCUUUUCUUUGAAGCCGGAAAUUUCCAUGUUUUCUUACAUACACUACAGUUUUAGAAUGUUGAUUGCGUCAAACGCAUUUAUAUACAACUUUCAGCAACGGAUCUCUUGGCUCUC
This 290-nucleotide unclassified non-coding RNA is filed under the name air metagenome. RNAcentral describes it as "partial contains small subunit ribosomal RNA, internal transcribed spacer 1, and 5.8S ribosomal RNA". The stretch from base 1 to 46 matches the Rfam family "Eukaryotic small subunit ribosomal RNA", at positions 1786 to 1831 of the family's 1831-position model. The record is from RNAcentral.